UACGUAGGGUGCGAGCGUUGUCCGGAAUUAUUGGGCGUAAAGGGCUCGUAGGCGGUUUGUCGCGUCGGGGAGUGAAAACCCAGGGCUUAACCCUGGGCUGGCUUCCGAUACGGGCAGACUAGAGGUAUGCAGGGGAGAACGGAAUUCCUGGUGUAGCGGUGAAAUGCGCAGAUAUCAGGAGGAACACCGGUGGCGAAGGCGGGUCCCUGGACACUUCCUGACACUGAGGCACGAAAGCGUGGGGAGCAAACAGG
RNAcentral lists this ribosomal RNA (254 nucleotides) under uncultured bacterium. RNAcentral's name for it is "partial 16S ribosomal RNA". It matches the Rfam family "Bacterial small subunit ribosomal RNA", at positions 524 to 776 of the family's 1533-position model. The record is from RNAcentral.